RNAcentral lists this unclassified non-coding RNA (460 nucleotides) under Hevea brasiliensis (rubber tree). The record is from RNAcentral. Lineage: Eukaryota; Viridiplantae; Streptophyta; Magnoliopsida; Malpighiales; Euphorbiaceae.
UGUGGCUGACUGUACAAAGGUGCUAGAACAAGAUGGCAAAAAUGUUUCCGUCCUUGUGCAGCGUGCUCUGUUGUAUGAGAGUAUGGAGAAGUACAAGCUUGGGGCGGAAGACCUCAGAACUGUUAUGAAAAUUGAUCCUGGUAAUAGGGUGGCAAGAAGUACUGUACACCGCUUGACUAAAAUGGCUGGCUAAGAGGGCUUCGGCAUAUUAGUUCUCUUAGCUUGUACUAGGCACAAAUGAUUUGAGAACUGCUCCCCUUCUCAUACCAAUUCUGGGGAACUCUUACUAAGAAAUUCUUUCUACAUUUUCUGGUUCUUGGUUUGUUAUCAAUUGUAUUUUUAUCUUUUUUCUUCUUUGCCACGGUGAACUUCCAUUUAAAUAUCUUGAAAUUGCUUUGUACUGGAAAUUUUAAGUACUGUAUAUUUUAGUCUUUUGAUCUGUUCUCAUGUUUAUGGUCAA